CACAACCAACUGGGAAAAUAAAAGUAAAAUAGGUUCAAUUAUAUAUUCUCAUUCAACAGGAUACAACAUAUAUACUCAUUCUCUACAUAGAACAUUAUGUAUAAAGAGGGCAGAAUAUAAAUCAACAACAAAGAUGAAAACAUUAUAUUUACAAAAGAUUAUUAGAGAUAAUACAACCAUAAAGAUCAAUCCUUUUUCCAGAAAACAUUAUAUCGAACAUUAUAUCGAACACACAAACGGCCACAGAAAUAUUACUUUGAUUACAAAGCCCAUUAAUCAAAGUUGAAAAAAUUACAACAUCAGGCUCAACACCUAACUUCAGCAUUUUCCCCAAAACAGAAAACCCAAAAUCAAUUCGACCUAAUUGACAAAAGCAGUUAAUCAAGAUGCUCACAGAAUAAACAUCAUGGGAAACGCCUAAUAAUUCCAUCUGGCUACACAUAGAAACAACAAUGGCAUAAUGUUUCAUUCUAAUAAUGGUUGCAAAUAAUUUAGUGAAUUCCACAAUUGAACGCUUUGGGUACUUUUCAAUCAUCUUUUUGAACAAACUCAAAACAUGAUCAACAUUAUCGAAGCGGUGGUCUGUUUUUCCCUUUCCUCUAACAGGCAUGGACAUAGGUUUCUUACUUAGGCAGUCGAUGUGGGUAGCAAUGGUGUUAGAAGAAGAAGAAAAAGAGCAGAAAUUAGAAAGAUGGCUUCCAGCAUUAACAACCGAACGAAGAAUAAAAGAAGAAGGAAGCUUACCCAUCAUUUGAAAGCAGAAAUGGCAGCGGCAGUAGCAGCCAAAAUGAAAUGAAAAAUAAACGGAGCAUAAAAGCCAAAAAGAAAUGAAAAAUAAACGAAGUAACCGUCGAAAAAUAGAAUUGCAACGUACCAACAGCGGUUUCCAGUUCUGAACCAAAAUGAAGCUUUCAAGAACAGAAAUUUGAAGGAAUGAAGGAAGGGAGAAGAAUGGAUGAAGGGAGCUUACUGGAUGAAGGGAGAAGAAUGGAUGAAGGGAGAAGAAUGCCUGAGAGCUUUAGGAAAAUGUCGUACGGAGAUUGAAUCGGUAAGACAAUUUCCCAAAAAUUGUAAGGCAUUUUCCCGUGUUUUGGAGUUGAUUUUCCAAAAGGAAAAUAUUUUCCUCCAAUCAAACACUG
This 1139-nucleotide long non-coding RNA is filed under the name Gossypium raimondii (Peruvian cotton). Its description in RNAcentral is "long non-coding RNA (GRAI_LNC002169)". Lineage: Eukaryota; Viridiplantae; Streptophyta; Magnoliopsida; Malvales; Malvaceae. The record is from RNAcentral.